GGGUGUGUAGCUCAGGUGGUUAGAGCGUUACACUGAUAAUGUAAAGGUCGGAGGUUCGAGUCCUCCCACACCCACCA
Molecule: transfer RNA, 77 nt
Filed under: Patescibacteria group bacterium
Lineage: Bacteria
Also listed under: 2 other names
Description: tRNA-Ile
Rfam family: tRNA
About the family: Transfer RNA (tRNA) molecules are approximately 80 nucleotides in length. Their secondary structure includes four short double-helical elements and three loops (D, anti-codon, and T loops). Further hydrogen bonds mediate the characteristic L-shaped molecular structure. tRNAs have two regions of fundamental functional importance: the anti-codon, which is responsible for specific mRNA codon recognition, and the 3' end, to which the tRNAs corresponding amino acid is attached (by aminoacyl-tRNA synthetases). tRNAs cope with the degeneracy of the genetic code in two manners: having more than one tRNA (with a specific anti-codon) for a particular amino acid; and 'wobble' base-pairing, i.e. permitting non-standard base-pairing at the 3rd anti-codon position.
Source: RNAcentral